Molecule: long non-coding RNA, 277 nt
Filed under: Elaeis guineensis (African oil palm)
Lineage: Eukaryota; Viridiplantae; Streptophyta; Magnoliopsida; Arecales; Arecaceae
Description: long non-coding RNA (EGUI_LNC005139)
Source: RNAcentral
CCGAGCUCAUUAGAAAGCUGUCCUCAUCAGGAGGUUGAAAUCAUCAAAAAUUAGACCUCAUCAGAAAGUCGAGCUCAUUAAAAGGCCGACUUCAUCAAAAAUUCGACCUCAUUAAGAGAACCAAAAAAUCGAUCUCCGAAUCGAGCUUAAGCUUCGAAAGAGCCAAAAAGAAAAGUCGAUUUUCGGAUCGACAGACAAUCUUCGGAUCGAGCUUAAGCACUGAAAGCAUCAAGAAGAAAAGUCGAUCUUCAGAUUGAGCUUAAGCACCGAAAGCGCC